Molecule: ribosomal RNA, 2223 nt
Filed under: Capsicum annuum var. glabriusculum (American bird pepper)
Lineage: Eukaryota; Viridiplantae; Streptophyta; Magnoliopsida; Solanales; Solanaceae
Description: eukaryotic LSU rRNA
Rfam family: Eukaryotic large subunit ribosomal RNA (bases 1-1663)
Source: RNAcentral
CCUCGGGGGAAGAACGCCCUCGACCUAAUCUCAAACUUUAAAUAGGUAGGACGGUGUGACUGCUUUGUUGAGCCGCACCAUGGAAUUAAGAUCUCCAAUCAGGCUAUUUUUGGUAAGCAAAAAUAGCGAUGCAGGAUGAACCGAAAGCCGAGUUGCAGUCCAAACUGUAUGCUAAUCUAGAUCUUAUAAAGUGUGUAGGUCAAUUAAGAUAGCAGGAUAUUGCUAAUAGAAGUCUAAAUCUAUUAAGGAGUGUGUAACAACCUACUUGCCAAAUCAACUAGCCCCAAAAAUGGAUGGAGCUUAAGCGUACAACCUACACCCUUCCGAUGGGCCAAGUGCCAGGUCCCGAUGAGUAAAAGGGUGUGGCAGUCACUACAUAACCUUGGGUACGAGCCUGGGUAGAGCAACCAUCGUACAGAUCUUAGUGGAAGUUAGAAAUAUUCUAAUAAGAACUUUGAAGGCUGAAAAGGAGAAAGGUUCAUGUGAAUGGCACUUGCACAUGGGUUAGUAGAUCCUAUGGGUCGGGGAAACCCCAACAAAUAGUGAAUUUUGUGCAUACUAUAAAAGGGAAUCGAGUUAAAAUUCCUAAACCAGGACGUGGCGAUCGACGACAACAUUAGGAAUUUUGGAGAUAUUAGUGGGAGCCUCAGAAAGAGUUAGCUUUCCUAUUUAAUAGCCUACGUACCCUGGAAUCGGCUCAGCCUGAGGUAGGGUCCAGUGGCUGGAAGUGCACUGCAUGUCACGUAGUUUCUGGUGCACUCCCGAAGGCCCUUGAAAAUAUGGAGGACCGAAAGCAUCCAUACCCGAUCAUACUCAUUACUGCAUCAAGUCUCUAAAGUGAAUAUCCUCUGGUCGAUGGAAGAUUAUAGGAAUGGGAAGUCAGCAAAAUGGAUCCAUAACUUUGGGAAAAGGAUUAGAUUUAAGGGUUAGGCACGGGGUCCCAAUCCUAAACCCGUCGACUAUCGGUGUACUACUAGAGAUGCUUCCACGGAAAGAGUGGGUCACCGCGUGCCGGCUAGGGGACAAACUGAGAAUGGUUCAUUCAAGGGCCAUCUCCACAUGUCGAACAGCCAACUUAGAACUAGUACUGACAAGGUGAACCAGACUUUUUAAUUAAAAAAAAAUCAUUGCAAUGGUCCCAACGGAUGUUCACGCAUUAUGAUUUUUGCCCAGUUCUCUGAAUGUCAAAGUCAAGAAAUUCAACCUAGAGCAGGUAAUGGCGGGAAUAACUAUGACACUUUUAAGGUUUCCAAAUGCCUCGUCAACUAAUUAGUGAAGCGCAUGAAUGGAUUAGAAGAUUACCACAGUCCCUGUAAGCUAUCUAGCAAAACGACAUUGCUUGGUUGAACAGCCAGUGGUUCGAGGCUACCAUGUGCUGCAUUAUGACUGAACGCCUCUAAGUCAGAAUCUGAGCUUCAAGCGGCGCAUGCGUUCACUAUCUUCUUGUUGACCAGCAGUAGGGGCCUCGACCCCUCAGGGCACAUGUCGUUUGCUAAGCCAUUGCUGCAAAAGUGUCACGGUGGCCGCCUUGAUGUACAAUUUUUUUUACGUGGCGGGUAGAAUCCUUUGCAGACGACUUAAAUAUGUGAUGGGGUAUUUUAAGAGUAAAGUGGACUUGCUGCCAUGAUCCAUUAAUAUUCAUCCCUUUGUCGGUCCGAUUAGUCCCUCCCCCUCAAAUUUAAUAAUUUUUUGUCCAUUUUCAAAGGUGGUUUGUGCAUCCAUCCUUUACAAAUCUGACUAAGUGUUGUGUUUUAACUUCACCCUAGAGCAUACCAUAGCAUAGCCUCACCCGACUUCCCCACUUAUUUUUCAAUUGUCGUGUGUGUUCCAUUCAAAAGAGUUAAGUAUGAUAUCAAGUGGUGUUUCGUGCAAAACUACGACAUCAAAAUUAGAAGCUUUCCAUGUCGCACAGUACGGCUCAAGAGCACUGUGAUGCGUAGAGGCCAACAUAGUGAUUUGAGGCAUCUUGCAAUUAGAGGUUUUUGUGACCGUCAAGUGCAAUCCUAGAGACAUAUCCAAUGACUCAGGCUCCGACGUCCGGCGAAAUUGGUAGCACACAACUCCCGAUGUCAAAUACUAAAGGACCUAUAGUUCCCUACCAUGGUGUUGUCUUUGUCGAGUUAUUUGUCUAUGUAUCAGCACGUUCACCUAUAAGGCACCAUGCACCAACACCUUAAACCACCUUGGGAAGCAACGGCCAUAAGGCACCAUGACAUUGUUCAC